Balaenoptera acutorostrata (minke whale) is the source of this 1002-nucleotide long non-coding RNA. RefSeq lists it as uncharacterized. The transcript has 3 exons. NCBI's taxonomy places the organism in Eukaryota, Metazoa, Chordata, Mammalia, Artiodactyla, Balaenopteridae. The record is from RefSeq and is a predicted model, not a curated record.
GAGGGAAUGCGCCUGCGCAGGACGUAGUCCUUCGGGUGAGGGCGGGAGCGUUAAGCUCCGCGCUAGCGGGCUGGUAGUCGUUCCCGAAAAUGGGAGGUCUGUGGCUUUCGGGCACUCCGGAGAGUGUAUCUUGGUGUGUUCCUCUGUGGGUUAAUCCUGUAUGGGACUCUCUGCACUUCCUGGACUUGGGUGACUGUUUCCUUUCCCAGGAACUUCCCUAUAAAGAAGGAAGUGUCCCCUGCAUUGGCAGGCACAGUGGUUAAGAAUCUGCCUGCCAAUGCAGGGGACAUUGGUUCGAGCCCUGGUCCAGGAAGAUCCCACAUGCCACGGAACAACUAAGCCCGUGCGCCACAACUACUGAGCCUGUGCUCUAGAGCCUGUGAGCCACAACUACUGAGCCCGCAAGCCACAGCUACUGAAGCCCACGCACCUAGAGCCCAUGCUCCGCAACAAGAGAAGCCACCACAAUGAGAAGCCCACGCACCGCAACAAAGAGUAGCCCCCACUCGACACAACUAGAGAAAGCCAGCAUGCAGCAACGAAGACCCAACACAACCAAAAGUAAAUAAAUAAAUAAAAUUGAAAAUAAUAAUAAUAAAACUUCUUUAUACAAUGGAAUACUACUCAGCCAUAAAAAAUAAUGAAAUAAUGCCAUUUGCAGCAACAUGGAUGGACUGAGAGAUUAUCAUACUAAGUGAAGGAAGUCAAAAAGAAAGCCAAAAAAAAAAAAAGAAAAAAGAAAGCCAAAUACCAUAUGAUAUCACUUAUAUGUGGAAUCUAAAAUAUUACAUAAAUGAACUUAUCCACAAAGUAGAAACAGACUCACAGACAUAGAGAACAGAUUUGUGGUUGCCAAGGGGGAGGGUGUAUGGGGGAGGGAUGGAAUUAGCACAUGCAAACUAUUAUAUAUAGAAUGGAUGAACAACAAGGUCUGUAUAGCACAGGGAACUAUAUUCAAUAUCCUGUAAUAAAACAUAAUGGAAAAGAAUUUAAAAAAAAAAA